GGAGGGUUGGCAGAGUCCGGUUGAUUGCGCACGACUCGAAAUCGUGUAGGCGGUUGAUCCCGCCUCGGGGGUUCGAAUCCCUCACCCUCCG
RNAcentral lists this transfer RNA (91 nucleotides) under Kiritimatiella glycovorans. It matches the Rfam family "tRNA". From Rfam's summary of the family: Transfer RNA (tRNA) molecules are approximately 80 nucleotides in length. Their secondary structure includes four short double-helical elements and three loops (D, anti-codon, and T loops). The record is from Rfam by way of RNAcentral. Lineage: Bacteria; Pseudomonadati; Kiritimatiellota; Kiritimatiellia; Kiritimatiellales; Kiritimatiellaceae.